RNAcentral lists this ribosomal RNA (253 nucleotides) under uncultured bacterium. RNAcentral's name for it is "partial 16S ribosomal RNA". It matches the Rfam family "Bacterial small subunit ribosomal RNA", at positions 524 to 776 of the family's 1533-position model. The record is from RNAcentral.
UACGGGGGGGGGAAGCGUUGUUCGGAAUUACUGGGCGUAAAGGGCUCGUAGGCGGCCAACUAAGUCAUACGUGAAAUCCCUCAGCUUAACUGGGGAACUGCGUGUGAUACUGGAUGGCUUGGAUUUGGGAGAGGGAUGCGGAAUUCCAGGUGUAGCGGUGAAAUGCGUAGAUAUCGGAAGGAACAUCAGUGGCGAAAGCGACUUCCUGGACCAGUACCGACGUUCAGGCACGAAAGCGUGGGGAGCAAACAGG